This is a long non-coding RNA of Gasterosteus aculeatus aculeatus (three-spined stickleback), 2813 nucleotides long. NCBI's taxonomy places the organism in Eukaryota, Metazoa, Chordata, Actinopteri, Perciformes, Gasterosteidae. The record is from Ensembl.
ACUGGCUCAUGGAGACACCUUCAUGGUCUCUGAGCUGUUGGUCUCAGUUUGCGUUUUCACUUCUCAUUGAAUCAGUGGAGAUGUUCUCCGAAGCUUUGUGAGAAACUCUUUUCAUCUCUGCUGAGCGUGGGCUCGUCUUCAGGUGAACUACCAUGCUCACACCUGAGAGUGGCCGGCCUGGUGGUGGGGGGGGGGGUCCAUUGUUUGGAUCCGCCUGGAUCCCUCCAGCGUUUCCUGGAGGGGGUUCAUCACGAUCCUGUGAGACAAGCAAGCAGCCUGAACGGGAUGUAAUGACAUCCAGAGGUACACAACAGAGAGGAACCUUUGAGGAAACCUCUGGUGUUGCUUUGUAUCCGUAUCCCGAGACACAGCAUCCGUGUUGGGUAAAGAUACAGAGGACGAUGGAGGAGAGCGACUCCAAUGAACAAGACGGAGAACAAAGAAAAAACAAGGUAACAAUCUCACAUGUCGUGUCGUCCCUCCUCUCACUGGUUUUCACAAACGUCUGCGUUUGCAUCACUAACCAGGUGAGUUAACUAGAACAUCUAUCUGCUAGAACCAUGGGUGAAGGUCGCUCACUUCCUGCUGGCUACAUCCCAAUAUGAAUGCAACAGACUGAUUCAACAGCCAGACUUUCCAGAUGGCAUUGAACCAUUUCUCACCACUGCUACGACGCUGUCCUCGUGCUGCAUCACGUCACACCCCGGCUCUGCAGGGUGUCCCAAGACAAGGAAAGAAACGUGCCAUCUCUUAGAAGUAAUGACCGGUUGGCCAAACAAACAUUGAAAGAGUGAAAAUGGAAGCGUGGCCAUCGUUUCGCUGAAGCACAAAGCGGCACAUUGGAAACCGUUGAAGUUCAGCGUGUAAAACCUUCGAUUCGCGAUCCUCUCGUGAGUUAAGAGGUAACAACCAAAAGGGACGUUGAGAACUGGUGGACGGCCGUUGUCUGGGUCGCCGUGGCGCCGGGGGUAAAGAGGGGGUCGCUGGGCAGCACAAGGUUGGUGGUUCGAGUCCUGACUGCCCUACGUUCCAUGUUGAAGGUGUCCCUGAGCAAGACACCUAAACUCCCCCGUAAAAAAAUGGGUGAAAAAUGUAAUAUAAGUCGCUUUGGAUAAAUGGCGCUGAACUCCCUUUCCCCUAAUUCUUUCUUCAGUUCCUCACUCUCCCUCCCAACCUCCAUCGUACUCACGGCCUUCGGUCUUCUCUGCCUCUCAUCGGCACCUUCUCGUCUCCACAGAAUAUCUUUAUUGUUCAUGAGCAGAGUGAACAGCGGGCUACUAGUUAGCAUCACUCCGUGGUGCAGGACCGGAGCAACAGCAUCACGGCCCACUGCACACACACACACACACACACACACACCGGCAUGCAGUAAUAUCACACACAGCCUCUCUGGAUGAGACAAAGACGUAUCGCAGACCCGCUGAUGCAGGAUGUCAUGUGCUCCUCUGUGAAUACACAUUUAGAGUUCAUAAUGAACCCUUUCAGAGGUAUUCGACCCUUGACGUUUGCGUCACCUUGAACUCGCACACAGCUGUUUUUGUGGCACAGCUGAUUGUGUCUCUGUUUUAGUUUCUGUGUCCCUCUCUGUAAAUGUCUGAUUUAAAUUGCAAUUCUCUACACAAUAUUCUAUUCAUGUGUCAACAAGGUCCGUUCUGCUUUUAUUUUGAAAAGCGCCGUUUUCUUCUUCUUAUGUUUUUUGUGACGCUCACUUCCUGCUACUUACCAUUUGCAACGUGGAAGUCACGCAUCGUCGAAGCAACGGAGAUGCUAGCAGGUGGAGGAAAUCCCUUUGAUUAGCGCCCUUGGAGAGCGGAUUGAGUUUUCACGGUGUUCACGGCGUCAUGGUGCUCGUCGAGAGAAACAAAAUAAAUCCGUUUGAACCUCUCUGCGUCUUGAUCAAUCAAUCCGAGGGGCCGCUGCACUCUCUCCUGUCCAUCCUCCUCUUCCUCCUCCUCCACCUCCUCCUCCUCCACCUCUCCUCACUGCCUCCAACCCAACCAUGAACAGAUUACAGAAUAAUUGCCGGAGAGUUUGGACGUGUCUUUGCACGGCGCCUCGUGCAUUUAACAGUGUGUUUCAGGGUGACACGAGGAACCAGGACGCACAAAGAUCCUCCUUCACUCCAACGCGGCUUUUUGUUCUGCAGAAUUUACUCGGAUGCAAAUGAAGCAUCAGUCCGGUGGCCGACGUCUCCGCCAUGAGACGCUACACAUGAGGGACAAAAGAUACCCGGGUUUGCCAUUUGUAAUCUGGGGGGACUGACCCUUUAACUGCCCCCCCCCCCCCCUUCCCCCACCUGUCCAUCACCUCAGUCCCACAGCUUUUAAAACCUGGAACCCAUUGAGACGCAGCUCCGUGAAGGUCUCUUAAAGGAACACAUAAAGUACACAACGUGCGACAAAUGCUGCGGUUGUGUGUGUGAUUUAGGGGUUCGGUAAUAAUAACUCAUUAAACGUUAACCUUUGUGAUUACACUGCAGAUUGACCCGCUGUGUGUGUGUGUGUGUGUGUGUGUGUGUGUGUGUGUGUGUGUGUGUGUGUGUGUGUGUGUCAUCUUUUGGGCUGUUUUGUUAAGACGUUUAAAGUGUGAGAACAAAUGACAAACACAAAGAAAAAGAAAGCGCUGCUUAAAUGUUUGUGGAAGAUACCCAAGUAAAAUAUAUUUGUGUUCGGUCCAAUCACUAUAAAAACCUGCUAAACACACACACACGCACACACAGACACACACAGACACACAAGCUCCCAAAAACAACAUUUACAGUUCUUUGUCCGACAGGAAAACAGCAGAGCUGAGUAAACAAAAGUGUGUCAGAC